Molecule: long non-coding RNA, 668 nt
Filed under: Nicotiana benthamiana
Lineage: Eukaryota; Viridiplantae; Streptophyta; Magnoliopsida; Solanales; Solanaceae
Description: long non-coding RNA (NBEN_LNC032192)
Source: RNAcentral
CUUGAUACUAUGAUUGUUAUUAUUUUUGUCUACCCUCUUAUCUCUUGUUAAUUUAAUUAUUUGCUUUCAUAAUAGUAGCUAAAGAAGUAUGUUUGCUAUUGUUGCCUUUUCUAAAGCUUGAUUGGUUCGACGAAAAGAAGUAUCUGUUCUAUUAUCCCCAGUGUAUACAUAUACUUUAAACAUAACUCUAUUUUUUUUAAAUGAUGGUAUUCUGGUUGGUUUAAACAUACGUCGGUACUCAUCCAUUUAAUAUAUGAUCCUUCUUACACGUACACAUGUGGGUAACGUUUUCCUGUAAUAUUUAGGCAUAUAGAAAAAAUUCAAUAAAUAUUGCCGUUGCUACAAAUUCCAAUUUUGCUAACUCAACCCCAAAAACUAGCUUAUAAGGUGAGGAUUGCCCAAGCCGUAUAAGGAGACCAAGGACCUCAAAUCACUCCGAUGUGGGACAACUCAACACCCCCCUCACGCCCUGAUCUCUGGAGCGUGGACAAACAUAAAUGGGGGCCCAACAUCGGUAACAAUAAUUGGGAUGGGCGUGGCUCUGAUACCAUGAUAAGAAUGGACAUUGUGCCUAACUCAUCCCCAAAAGCUAGCUUAUGAGGUGAGGAUUGCCCAAGCCAUAUAAGGAGACCAAGGACCUCAAAUCCCUCCAAUGUGGGACAACUCAA